Buceros rhinoceros silvestris is the source of this 46-nucleotide regulatory RNA element. It matches the Rfam family "Histone 3' UTR stem-loop". Rfam says of the family: The mRNAs of metazoan histone genes lack a poly-A tail. 3' end processing occurs at a site between a highly conserved stem-loop (modelled by this family) and a purine rich region around 20 nts downstream (the histone downstream element, or HDE). The record is from Rfam. Lineage: Eukaryota; Metazoa; Chordata; Aves; Bucerotiformes; Bucerotidae.
CCAAAGGCUCUUUUAAGAGCCACCAAUACUUUAAUUUGAAGAGCUU